AUACAUUUAGAACAUUCUUUAAAGAAAGUAAAACAUAUCGUUUAUCGUUAUGUCAACCAAUUUAAAUUUACCGGAACUGUAUUACCACGAAACAUCAUACAAAAUUAUAAUUAUAUCUCUCCUAAUUUUCGCGUCUAUAACACUCUAUCUUAUUGCUGGUUUUCUGGGCACAUAUAUACAGGAAUUAAAUUACGAAGGAUUAGAAAAUGUCUCAAAUCCGAUACUCGAUUAGAAAGGCUGAUAUCGAAUCAGGAUGCAACACCAAUCCAAUUAUUGUGACACCGGCCCCCAAGUUAGAAAUAGGAGAAUGUUGUAAAAUCAUGCUUGUAUGCUCUUUUGUGAUUGGAGCUCCAGCAGUCGGAAUUCUCAUGCCUUACGCUAUAAUUACUUUUUUGGGUUUAAAAUUUUAGCACAUGGGUUUUCCGCGGCUGUAUAUUUUUACUAAUUGGUAUAGAAAACAAAAUGAAGAUAUAUGCAUCCUAACUCAUAUAUUUUUUAGUUUUAUGAAAAAUUGAUUGUAUGUACUCUAAUGUGAAUCUUAAGGUUGUGGUACUUUGACUGUGAAAAAAUAAACUUCUUUAAAUUAAUAAUA
This is a long non-coding RNA of Teleopsis dalmanni, 592 nucleotides long. RefSeq lists it as uncharacterized. The record is from RefSeq and is a predicted model, not a curated record. The transcript is spliced from 3 exons. Lineage: Eukaryota; Metazoa; Arthropoda; Insecta; Diptera; Diopsidae.